GACAAUGACAGCUGGUCGAGCAUGAGACUUUUAAUCUCAGGGUUGUGGGUUUGAGCCCCACAUUGGGCAACG
This is a non-coding RNA of Podarcis lilfordi (Lilford's wall lizard), 72 nucleotides long. NCBI's taxonomy places the organism in Eukaryota, Metazoa, Chordata, Lepidosauria, Squamata, Lacertidae. The record is from the annotation of a GenBank genome assembly.